GAUGUACUCCCUCCGUUCGAAAUUACUUGUCGCAAAAAUGGAUGUAUCUAGAUGUAUUUUACUUCUAGAUAAAUCCAUUUUCAAGACAAGUAAUUCCGAACAGAGAAAGUAUAUC
This is a non-coding RNA of Triticum urartu, 115 nucleotides long. NCBI's taxonomy places the organism in Eukaryota, Viridiplantae, Streptophyta, Magnoliopsida, Poales, Poaceae. The record is from Rfam.